Molecule: non-coding RNA, 255 nt
Organism: Paramuricea clavata
Lineage: Eukaryota; Metazoa; Cnidaria; Anthozoa; Malacalcyonacea; Plexauridae
Source: the annotation of a GenBank genome assembly
UGAAAUUUCAGUCUUAAGAAGAUAAUGAUGGCAUAACCAGCAUUUUAAAACGUUGUAAGCAUAAACAUUCGCCAACUAGAUUACAUUGGUAUCGAAGGAACUAGAUUCUGUUCCGAAAUAUCACUUACUCGAACCGACCUGACCGCGUAGCUCAGUUGGCAGAGCAUUGGGCUAGUAUUCCAAAGGUCGUAGGUUCAAAAUCUAAAAAAUCUAUGCGGAUAAAUUACCACAUAAAUAUAAUUAAUUAAAUCUACA